UGGGGAAUCUUGGACAAUGGGCGCAAGCCUGAUGCAGCAACGCCGCGUGCGGGAAGACGGCCCUAGGGUUGUAAACCGCUUUCAGCAGGGAAGAAACUGACGGUACCUGCAGAAGAAGAUGCGGCCAACUACGUGCCAGCAGCCGCGGUGACACGUAGGCAUCAAGCGUUAUCCGGAUUUAUUGGGCGUAAAGAGCUCGUAGGCGGUUCGGUAAGUCGGGUGUGAAACUCUGGGCUCAACCCAGAGAGGCCACUCGAUACUGCUGUGACUAGAGUGCGGUAGGGGAGCGGGGAAUUCCUGGUGUAGCGGUGAAAUGCGCAGAUAUCAGGAGGAACACCAGUGGCGAAGGCGCCGCUCUGGGCCGUAACUGACGCUGAGGAGCGAAAGCAUGGGUAGCAAACAGGAUUAGAUACCCUGGUAGUCCAUGCCGUAAACGUUGGGCACUAGGUGUGGGUCUCAACCGAACGAGAUCCGCGCCGUCGCUAACGCAUUAAGUGCCCGCCUGGGAGUACGGUCGCAAGACU
RNAcentral lists this ribosomal RNA (524 nucleotides) under uncultured bacterium. RNAcentral's name for it is "bacterial SSU rRNA". It matches the Rfam family "Bacterial small subunit ribosomal RNA", at positions 355 to 895 of the family's 1533-position model. The record is from RNAcentral.